UACGUAGGGGGCAAGCGUUGUCCGGAAUCAUUGGGCGUAAAGCGCGUGUAGGCGGUUUCGUAAGUCUGCUGUGAAAGUCGGAGGCUCAACCUUCGAAAGCCGGUGGAUACUGUGAGACUUGAGUACGGAAGAGGAGGGUGGAAUUCCUGGUGUAGCGGUGAAAUGCGCAGAUAUCAGGAGGAACACCAACGGCGAAGGCAGCUCUCUGGGACGUUACUGACGCUGAGACGCGAAAGCGUGGGGAGCAAACAGG
This 253-nucleotide ribosomal RNA is filed under the name uncultured bacterium. RNAcentral describes it as "partial 16S ribosomal RNA". It matches the Rfam family "Bacterial small subunit ribosomal RNA", at positions 524 to 776 of the family's 1533-position model. The record is from RNAcentral.